This 253-nucleotide ribosomal RNA is filed under the name uncultured bacterium. Its description in RNAcentral is "partial 16S ribosomal RNA". It matches the Rfam family "Bacterial small subunit ribosomal RNA", at positions 524 to 776 of the family's 1533-position model. The record is from RNAcentral.
UACGGAGGGUGCAAGCGUUAUCCGGAUUUACUGGGUUUAAAGGGUGCGUAGGUGGGUUGGUAAGUCAGUGGUGAAAUACUUUCGCUUAACGAAGGAACUGCCAUUGAUACUAUCAAUCUUGAAUAUCGUGGAGGUCAGCGGAAUAUGUCAUGUAGCGGUGAAAUGCUUAGAUAUGACAUAGAACACCAAUUGCGAAGGCAGCUGGCUACACGAAUAUUGACACUGAUGCACGAAAGCGUGGGGAUCAAACAGG